Molecule: long non-coding RNA, 1287 nt
Organism: Rhinopithecus roxellana (golden snub-nosed monkey)
Lineage: Eukaryota; Metazoa; Chordata; Mammalia; Primates; Cercopithecidae
Exons: 3
Source: RefSeq, a predicted model, not a curated record
AGGAUACGUGUCACCCUUGGUUCCUUUUAAAGGGGAGGUGGACAAUAAAAUACAGACUCCCCCGACGCGUCUAUCACGGCAACAACACAGAGGAGCGCAUACACACCACUCACACCUCCAACUAUUGACUGUUGUAUCUAGUGUUAUAACCGGGAUGUGACAGUUUAGUCUGGGAGCAGAAAUAACCAACAUGCCCAUUAGACACAGGAUGGAAUAAUGCUUCUAUUGGUUGGGUCCCUUCGAGAUUCAGUUGAGAGGCAAACGUGGAUGUGGAUUUUGGAGAAGGAUGCCUAAGGACUUCCAGGUCACCCACCCACCCACCACCACCACCACCACCACCACCACCACCACCACUAUCAGCACCCUGAAGAAGGGAAGAGAGGAAAACCAACCCCAGGGUGCAGGCCUGCCUGCUGCAAGCUUUCCAGAGGCAAAACUGACUGACGGCCUCUCUCUCACUCUCAUCUCCUGUGCCCAGUGUGACGCCAAGCCCAACCUGGAUUUGUUCUGAAUGGGGGGGGGGGGGGAGUGAAAUACCACAAGAUCAGUAGCAAGUAGCAGCUGCAGCGUUUUCUCUCCUGGGAACCCCACUGCUUAGAAGCCUCCCGAGUGAUGUUUGUUUAACCAACAGCUUUCAAAGUAAACAGAAGCCAAUCACUCCAAAGAAGUUGAAAUAUAACCCUUACAAGAAUUUGGUUCCAGGGGUGCUGGCAGAAGGAAAGUAAAUUUUUAAAAUGAGAAAGAACCCACUCCCAAAUAAAGAGUCUGCCACAUUGCUUUAAGGAAUGAAGAAUUGUCAUGAAAAUAUAAAUUCAUCGAAAGGGUUCAUUACAAUAAGUUGGCCUCGAAGAAAAUCACUCUUCGCCCACAAAGACACACCCGCGGGGAUGAGGGGGUUGUCAGUGAUUGAAGGGACACACUACUACUUGAUUUUAUGAAAGUGGGCGAAAACAAUCAAAGGGAAGUACGUUCCCUGCCCUGGAGUAGAAAAGUGUAGGCUGGGAGCUCUUCGCCGCCAGCUCUGGCUUUGCCUCAGGCACCGAACUUUCCAAUACCAAGAUAUUAACAGAUGGUGAUGAGCACAAGGAGGGCUGCUACUUACAUAAUCCAGCCACUCCGCCCGGCUGCCCAGAGCCCCGCGAGGAACCCGCCAGGCCGCGCGCGCUCGCCUUCCGAGGGCUGCUCCCUGACCUAACUCGCCUUUCUCCAACCCCACCCAGCUUUUGAGGUUUAGCAUUUGGAGAGGCCGUGAUUGAAAAAACCAAACAAAAACAAAAACACCCAAAA